GACGAACGCUGGCGGCGUGCUUAACACAUGCAAGUCGAACGAUGAAGAAGAGCUUGCUCUUCGGAUUAGUGGCGAACGGGUGAGUAACACGUGACUAACCUGCCCCUUUCUCUGGGAUAACGCUCCGAAAGGAGUGCUAAUACCGGAUACUCACACCGACGCCCAUGCCUUGAUGUGGAAAGUUUUUCGGAAAGGGAUGGAGUCGCGGCCUAUCCCGUUGUUGGUGAGGUAACGGCUCACCAAGGCGACGACGGGUAGCCGGCCUGAGAGGGCGACCGGCCACACUGGGACUGAGACACGGCCCAGACUCCUACGGGAGGCAGCAGUGGGGAAUAUUGCACAAUGGGCGAAAGCCUGAUGCAGCGACGCCGCGUGAGGGAUGAAGGUCUUCGGAUUGUAAACCUCUUUCAGUAGGGACGAAGCGAAAGUGACGGUACCUAAAGAAGAAGCACCGGCUAACUACGUGCCAGCAGCCGCCGUAA
RNAcentral lists this ribosomal RNA (482 nucleotides) under uncultured bacterium. Its description in RNAcentral is "partial 16S ribosomal RNA". It matches the Rfam family "Bacterial small subunit ribosomal RNA", at positions 28 to 523 of the family's 1533-position model. The record is from RNAcentral.